CCCUUAGAUGUCCUGGGCCGCACGCGCGCUACACUGAUGCAUUCAACGAGUCUACCUUGGCCGAGAGGCCUGGGCAACCUUUUAAACGUGCAUCGUGAUAGGGAUAGAUUAUUGCAAUUAUUAAUCUUGAACGAGGAAUUCCUAGUAAACGCAAAUCAUCAAUUUGCAUUGAUUACGUCCCUGCACUUUGUACACACCGCCCGUCGCACCUACCGAUUGAAUGGUCCGGUGGGGACUCGGGAUUUUUACCAGUUUCCUUCAUUGGGAAUUGGUGAGGAGAACUUGUCCAAACCUUAUCAUUUAGAGGAAGGUGAAGUCGUAACA
RNAcentral lists this ribosomal RNA (324 nucleotides) under uncultured eukaryote. Its description in RNAcentral is "partial 18S ribosomal RNA". It matches the Rfam family "Eukaryotic small subunit ribosomal RNA", at positions 1470 to 1796 of the family's 1831-position model. The record is from RNAcentral.